RNAcentral lists this unclassified non-coding RNA (323 nucleotides) under Hevea brasiliensis (rubber tree). Lineage: Eukaryota; Viridiplantae; Streptophyta; Magnoliopsida; Malpighiales; Euphorbiaceae. The record is from RNAcentral.
GAAAUAUCUUUAGAUUUCAACCCAGCAUUUUGAAGGAGUAAAACACAAAGAACCUCCAAAAGAGGAGCAGAGGCUGGAUAUUCAGGCAAAUUCAAAGUAGUUAACAGAUCAAUGACAAGAUUCUCAAUCAUUGUCUUCAACUCAGCUGCCUCCUGAUUUUUUGUGUUUGUUAGACGUUGAAGAACACGACUCCAGAAAAGACAGCAUGCUUCCGUGACUGACUCACAAGAUUUGGUAGGGUAACUGGCAUCAACUGAAACUUCUAGAGAAGGACUGUCAGAUGAUUCCCUCAAAACAUCUGGAAGGUUUGAACUGCUGUGAAC